RNAcentral lists this ribosomal RNA (500 nucleotides) under uncultured bacterium. Its description in RNAcentral is "partial 16S ribosomal RNA". It matches the Rfam family "Bacterial small subunit ribosomal RNA", at positions 30 to 523 of the family's 1533-position model. The record is from RNAcentral.
AUUGAACGCUGGCGGUAUGCUUAACACAUGCAAGUCGAACGAUGAGAAAGAGCUUGCUCUUUCGAUUAGUGGCGGACGGGUGCGUAACGCGUAGGAAUCUACCUAUUAGUGGGGGACAACUUAGGGAAACUUAAGCUAAUACCGCAUACGCCCUACGGGGGAAAGAAGGGGAUCGCAAGACCUUUUGCUAAUAGAUGAGCCUGCGUAGGAUUAGCUAGUUGGUGGGGUAAAAGCUCACCAAGGCGACGAUCCUUAACUGGUUUGAGAGAAUGAUCAGCCACACUGGAACUGAGACACGGUCCAGACUCCUACGGGAGGCAGCAGUGGGGAAUUUUGGACAAUGGGCGAAAGCCUGAUCCAGCCAUUCCGCGUGCAGGAUGAAGGCCCUCGGGUUGUAAACUGCCUUUGUACAGAACGAAAAGGUUUCUACUAAUACUAGGAGCUCAUGACGGUACUGUAAGAAUAAGCACCGGCUAACUACGUGCCAGCCGCCGCCGUAA